GCCAAGGUAGCCCAAUUGGCAGAGGCGCCGUGUUCAGGACACGGAUGUUCGGGGUUCGACUCCCCGCCUUGGCACCA
RNAcentral lists this transfer RNA (77 nucleotides) under Myxococcaceae bacterium. RNAcentral's name for it is "tRNA-Leu". It matches the Rfam family "tRNA". Rfam says of the family: Transfer RNA (tRNA) molecules are approximately 80 nucleotides in length. Their secondary structure includes four short double-helical elements and three loops (D, anti-codon, and T loops). Lineage: Bacteria; Pseudomonadati; Myxococcota; Myxococcia; Myxococcales; Myxococcaceae. The record is from RNAcentral.